UCUACAGUGGCAGCAGCCAACCUCAGUCCCUUUUUCCUGUCUUACUGAUAAUUCUCCUGGAUUUUUCUCAGACUAUGCAGUACAAAGUCUGCAGGAACAAUGUCUAAAAGCCUAUAACCUAUCCAAAUGACCAUGAUGCUACUCAAUUCUAAAUUGUAUAACAAGAAGGAAUGGCAACGACUAAAGGCCAUUUUUCAGCUUGUCCCACUAAGUGUGGGAGUGAGAACAAGUCCUAGCAUGUGAAUACGAUAACAACAAGCACUGUAUAUUGGGAAGAAAAUUUGAGUCAGAAGAUUUGGACUGAAACGCUUUCUGCCACUUAUUAGCAACAUGACUUUAGGGAUCCUGCCUGGAACUACCUACCUUCCAGAUGGGAACAACUCUGUCCACUCCACCACAUUGUUUUGUACCUUUCUAAAGAAUUUAUCAUAUAAAAUUGUGCAGAUGUGCUACAGAUACCUAGUACAGCUUCAGUAAACCUAGAACAACUAUUGGAUGCCCCCUAGGGGACACCUAGAAACUUUUAUUCAGGAGAGAAGGCCCAGAACAACUGGAGUAGCAGCUUCUUGGUACCUCUUUCAAUACUA
Antechinus flavipes (yellow-footed antechinus) is the source of this 587-nucleotide long non-coding RNA. RefSeq lists it as uncharacterized. The transcript is spliced from 5 exons. The record is from RefSeq and is a predicted model, not a curated record. NCBI's taxonomy places the organism in Eukaryota, Metazoa, Chordata, Mammalia, Dasyuromorphia, Dasyuridae.